This 443-nucleotide ribosomal RNA is filed under the name uncultured bacterium. RNAcentral's name for it is "partial 16S ribosomal RNA". It matches the Rfam family "Bacterial small subunit ribosomal RNA", at positions 339 to 795 of the family's 1533-position model. The record is from RNAcentral.
CUACGGGCUGCAGCAGUCGAGAAUCUUCCGCAAUGGGCGCAAGCCUGACGGAGCAAUGCCGCGUGAGGGAUGACGGCCCUAGGGUUGUAAACCUCUGUCAGAAGGGACGAAGAACGUGACGGUACCUUCAGAGGAAGCCAUGGCUAACUACGUGCCAGCAGCCGCGGUAAUACGUAGAUGGCGAGCGGUUAUUCGGAUUUACUGGGCGUAAAGGGUCCGUAGGGGGUCUGCCAAGUCUGAUGUGAAAUCCUGCGGCUCAACCGCGGAACUGCAUUGGAAACUGGCGGACUAGAGUGUGCGAGGGGUGAGCGGAAUUCCUGGUGUAGCGGUGGAAUGCGUAGAUAUCAGGAAGGACACCGAUGGCGAAGGCGGCUCACUGGCGCAUCACUGACCCUGAGGGACGAAAGCGUGGGUAGCAAACAGGAUUAGAUACCCGAGUAGUC